Molecule: ribosomal RNA, 598 nt
Filed under: uncultured bacterium
Lineage: Bacteria
Description: bacterial SSU rRNA
Rfam family: Bacterial small subunit ribosomal RNA
Source: RNAcentral
GGCGAACGGGUGAGUAACACGUGAGAAACCUGCCCCAAAGUCUGGGAUAACCCGGGGAAACCCGAGCUAAUACCGGAUACCUUCCUUCGGUCGCAUGGCCGGUUGAAGAAAGUCUUUUCGCUUUGGGAGGGUCUCGCGGCCUAUCAGUUUGUUGGUGGGGUAACGGCCUACCAAGACAUCGACGGGUAGCUGGUCUGAGAGGACGAUCAGCCACACUGGGACUGAGACACGGCCCAGACUCCUACGGGAGGCAGCAGUGGGGAAUCUUGCGCAAUGGGCGAAAGCCUGACGCAGCAACGCCGCGUGCGGGAUGACGGCCUUCGGGUUGUAAACCGCUUUCAGCAGGGACGAAAUUGACGGUACCUGCAGAAGAAGCCCCGGCCAACUACGUGCCAGCAGCCGCGGUAACACGUAGGGGGCGAGCGUUGUCCGGAUUUAUUGGGCGUAAAGAGCUCGUAGGCGGCUUUGUCAGUCGGGUGUGAAACCUCCAGGCUCAACCUGGAGCCGCCACCCGAUACUGCAAUAGCUAGAGUCCGGUAGGGGAGCAUGGAACUCCUGGUGUAGCGGUGAAAUGCGCAGAUAUCAGGAAGAACACCAG